Haliotis rubra (blacklip abalone) is the source of this 379-nucleotide long non-coding RNA. RefSeq lists it as uncharacterized. The record is from RefSeq and is a predicted model, not a curated record. NCBI's taxonomy places the organism in Eukaryota, Metazoa, Mollusca, Gastropoda, Lepetellida, Haliotidae. The transcript has 3 exons.
AGUGUAUACUUAUAGUAAUGUUAUUAGUGAUGUUCAUAAAACUAAGUACAUCCUCGAUUAUUUCCUUCAGGUUCAGCAAUGUUGUUGCAAGGUGGCCUGGGGCGAGUCAUGACUCAAUGAUCCUUAGCAACAGCCUGUUGGGACAGUCGUUCGAGUCCUCUCCUCCAGAUGGAUGGCUUUUGGGAGAUUCAGGAUAUGCAUGCAGGCCCUGGCUCCUAACACCAAUAGGUAAUCCUCAGACAAGGCCAGAAGAAAGAUAUAAUGGAGCCCACAUGAAGACUAGAAACACCAUUGAAAGGGCAUUUGGUGUUCUGAAAUCAAGGUUCAGAUGCUUACACAAGUCAUCAGGGUGCCUUCAAUUUACCCCCACAAAAUGUGC